RNAcentral lists this ribosomal RNA (439 nucleotides) under uncultured bacterium. RNAcentral describes it as "bacterial SSU rRNA". It matches the Rfam family "Bacterial small subunit ribosomal RNA", at positions 907 to 1346 of the family's 1533-position model. The record is from RNAcentral.
GAAUUGACGGGGGCCCGCACAAGCGGUGGAGCAUGUGGUUUAAUUCGAUGCAACGCGAAGAACCUUACCUGGUCUUGACAUCCACAGAACUUAGCAGAGAUGCUUUGGUGCCUUCGGGAACUGUGAGACAGGUGCUGCAUGGCUGUCGUCAGCUCGUGUUGUGAAAUGUUGGGUUAAGUCCCGCAACGAGCGCAACCCUUAUCCUUUGUUGCCAGCGGUUAGGCCGGGAACUCAAAGGAGACUGCCAGUGAUAAACUGGAGGAAGGUGGGGAUGACGUCAAGUCAUCAUGGCCCUUACGACCAGGGCUACACACGUGCUACAAUGGCAUAUACAAAGAGAAGCGACCUCGCGAGAGCAAGCGGACCUCAUAAAGUAUGUCGUAGUCCGGAUUGGAGUCUGCAACUCGACUCCAUGAAGUCGGAAUCGCUAGUAAUCGUA